UACGGGGGGGGCAAGCGUUGUUCGGAAUUACUGGGCGUAAAGAGCUCGUAGGCGGUCUGUCGCGUCGGUCGUGAAAACUUGGGGCUUAACCCCGAGCUUGCGGUCGAUACGGGCAUGACUGGAGUUCGGCAGGGGAGACUGGAAUUCCUGGUGUAGCGGUGAAAUGCGCAGAUAUCAGGAGGAACACCGGUGGCGAAGGCGGGUCUCUGGGCCGAUACUGACGCUGAGGAGCGAAAGCGUGGGGAGCAAACAGG
RNAcentral lists this ribosomal RNA (254 nucleotides) under uncultured bacterium. RNAcentral's name for it is "partial 16S ribosomal RNA". It matches the Rfam family "Bacterial small subunit ribosomal RNA", at positions 524 to 776 of the family's 1533-position model. The record is from RNAcentral.